UGCUCAAUUGAAACUAACAUUUGCUGCUC
This 29-nucleotide non-coding RNA is filed under the name Rattus norvegicus (Norway rat). Lineage: Eukaryota; Metazoa; Chordata; Mammalia; Rodentia; Muridae. The record is from RNAcentral.